RNAcentral lists this ribosomal RNA (999 nucleotides) under Triticum aestivum (bread wheat). Its description in RNAcentral is "partial small subunit ribosomal RNA". The record is from RNAcentral. Lineage: Eukaryota; Viridiplantae; Streptophyta; Magnoliopsida; Poales; Poaceae.
AUGACAGCCAGGACUAACUUGUCUUCUUGCACUCCCGUAAAAGAGAUAGUCUGGGAACACAACCACAGGCUACAGCUCACUCCGCAAAUGCUUGUCUUCUUGCACUCCCACAAAAACUUUGACAAAACAAUCUUGGAGUACGUCAAGUACCUGCCGUUCAAAGGCAUUGAACACGCGCAAAUAAUGAGCAUACUGGGCGGUGAUGACCCUGGUAGCUACUUCCUUGAAAUGAAUGCCAAAGACCUAAUUAACAUGAAAGCAAAAAAUUCAAGGAUGGAUGAUGUGGACGAUGUCCUAAAGACUGUCAACUUCUUUAGGGAGAUGAAAGCUAUAAACAGGGAAUUCUUCUAUGACAUGCAACUCGAUGCAAGCUGCCGAGGGGCCUAUCAGGACUUCGGUUACUACGUAACGUUUGACACCACAUAUAAGACCAACAAGUACCAUAUGCCACUUGGGGUGUUCGUCAGUACUAACAACCACUUUCAGACUACAUUCUUUGGUUUUGCCCUGAUAAGAGAUGAGGAUGCAGAAUCAUUCAGAUGGCUGUUCAAGACGUUUUUAAGGUGCAUGAGAGGGAAGGCUCCUACAUGCAUCCUCACAGACCAGUGCCCGGCAAUGGCUUUGGCGAUACCAAAAGUUUUCAAGAACACAGUACACAAGCUGUGCCACUGGCACAUUAUGAAGAACUACAGGGAACACCUCGCAUACCUGUACUACCUACACGAAGACUUCACAGAAGAAUUAACAUCAAUCCUCAAUUGGCCCCUCAUGCCAACUGAGUUUGACGAUGCCUGGAAAGGACUCAUCGAUAGGUACAACCUCCAUGAUGAUGCCACAAUGCUGGCCAUGUGGAACGAGCGUGAGAAAUGGAUAUCAGCCUACUUCAAAGAAAUUUUCUGUGCCAAAAUGACAUCCACACAACGAAGUGAGAGCAUCAAUACCAGGAGGCAGAAGAACUUUGUAAGUGAGAGACAAAACCUACACCGGUUUGUCAGCUAG